GCCAGUGUAGUGUAGUGGUUUGAGUGUUGGACUGCAACUCUUGAGACCAGGGUUCAGUUCCUUGCUUGGCCA
Non-coding RNA from Phrynosoma platyrhinos (Desert horned lizard), 72 nucleotides. NCBI's taxonomy places the organism in Eukaryota, Metazoa, Chordata, Lepidosauria, Squamata, Phrynosomatidae. The record is from the annotation of a GenBank genome assembly.